Molecule: transfer RNA, 77 nt
Filed under: Amylibacter marinus
Lineage: Bacteria; Pseudomonadati; Pseudomonadota; Alphaproteobacteria; Rhodobacterales; Paracoccaceae
Also listed under: 4 other names
Description: tRNA-Pro
Rfam family: tRNA
About the family: Transfer RNA (tRNA) molecules are approximately 80 nucleotides in length. Their secondary structure includes four short double-helical elements and three loops (D, anti-codon, and T loops).
Source: RNAcentral
CGGGCUAUAGCGCAGUCUGGUAGCGCGUUCGUCUGGGGGACGAGAGGUCGCAGGUUCGAACCCUGCUAGCCCGACCA